This is a long non-coding RNA of Strigops habroptila (Kakapo), 4045 nucleotides long. RefSeq lists it as uncharacterized. The transcript is spliced from 3 exons. Lineage: Eukaryota; Metazoa; Chordata; Aves; Psittaciformes; Psittacidae. The record is from RefSeq and is a predicted model, not a curated record.
GCCGUCAGGCGAGCGGACGGCGCCCCCUGCCGGGCCCGCCGGGCUGGGCCCCGCCGCCUCGUCCCUCCCUCCCGCUGUCCCUUCUCCUCAGCGCCGCAGGACGAAGCCUGUACGAGCCCAUGUACAGCGAAUGUAUUCCCUCAAUGAAGCGGCGGUAAGGCUGGGGCAGCCCUGCGUGCCAGUCCCUAAGGCGGAGGGAAGGGUGCUUCAAAGCUGAGGUGUAGCUGGGCAGGGUGCCUAAGGGAAGGCGGACUCCUCGCGCUGUGGAAAACUGUGGCACUCGAGGCUCACCCUAAUUUUGGGAGUCUGUGAGGCUUCUGAAUUACACGGUCAGUAAUCCAAAGAAGAAUGUAAGCAGGAAAGUCUGUGAUAAGAACAAUAAAAACAGCAUUUGCUCCAAGGAGCAGAACUCAAGCAGACUUCACAAACUACAGGGAGAGAAGAAGGUAAUGUGUGGAUUCAGUUGGGCGCAGGGAUUUUUCUUAAAAUAAUAAUUUAGACAACGAAAGACUAUGUAUGGAGGUAACUAGAGCAAAAUAGAAAACCUAAAGAAAGAAAUGGAAACGUGAUUUAAUAAGGCUCAGCAAACAAAGCAUCUAGGGAUGAUACUGCAAGACAGAUGGUAUCCCGAACAGAUCUGUGCUCUGCAAACUCAGAUGACCCCAUUUCUUGAGAUUACCAUGCAAGAGAUGACCCUGAAAAAGUGAGAAAGUGAGAAAGGACAGGGCUGGAAUGCUGGCAGAGCGAGCCACAGGGACAGAAGACAGACUGUCUGAUCCUAGCUGUCUCUUGUUUGAACACAGAUCUGAAAGAUGAUAAGGACUGAAGACCCGCUUUUCACUGCCCAACAUAUUAUAGAUGUCUGUAUAGUCUUCUUUGCAAAAUAAAUGCAAAGCUUGUUGAGAGCAGCAGCAUUUGUAUUUAGUUGGAUUUUACUCGCUGUUAUCGUAGGAUUGAGCAACCAUGCUGAGAAAUGAAAACAAAAGUUACGUCAGAAGAAAUUACACACAAGGCUUUAUGUUUGCUUACUUAUUUUUAUAUGUGUAAAAGAUAAAAAUAACAUAUAUGUUUAUAUGGUUGUUUGUAUAGGAAAUGUGAGGUUUACAGACCAUUUGUCACUGCUGCAGCCACUGGAAUGUGCCAGCAAAUCCGUGGCCCUGUGUCUCCUUACAGCUGGUUUUUGUAUUUGGAGUAUAAACCAUGUUAGCUUCUGAAGGAUUUAUCAGUUUGGAGGACAGCUGUAGAGCGUUUAGGAGAGGACCUAAGGACAACAUAGCUCUAAAAUAAAUAUGUGUUUGGCUACUCCAUCUUCUGACACGUGAGACACUUCUACAGAGAAAAGUCUUCCAAGAGAGGAGACAGAGCCUUCCAGGCAUCUCCUGCAAUUCCUUCCUCACCCUACACCACAGGCUUUGAAGGCUUCUUUCUGUGAAUUCUUGCCUAACAGAAAGAAGAAGAUAAUAUGUGGAUGGAUGAAUGGCUGGAAUAUGUAUGAUUAAAAAAACAUUCAAAAUAUUCCAGCAGACACACCUUUUCCAUGAGAAAAAAGUCACAUGAAAAUUCCAUGAAAAGUCACAUUGCUUAAUAAGCUUCUGGAAGGCUCUUAAAUGCUACAGUUGCUGCAGCUAAUACCACACAGAACAGCAUAGCUGUAGCUUGCAAAUAGACAAAAACCCUAUCGUUCUGUUGACAACUUAUCUUGUUCACACAUGCAGUUAAAAUUAAAUGUAAGAACUGUUUGGUAGUUUUUGGAAGACAGACGAAUAAAAUGUAAGCAAUGUAAAACCUCUGUAGCAAUCAAGACCAGUUCUGAAUGUAAAUUUAUUUUCCAUUUGUGUAUUUAUUCUUUUUACACAACAUAAAUAUGUACAAAACAGUACAUAAGGAAAACCCAAGAAAUCAAGCCUAAAAUGACCUUUUUCCCUUUGUGUUUACAGAGGAAGGGUGACAAAUGCUCAUGAGCUUCCCAUUCAUCAUGUUUCAUAGGAAAAUAGGAGACAGUAGGCAUCUUAAGCUGGUCUGUAUGGAUUCCCACGCAGGGAUCUUCCUCCAAGACUGUCGUGCUUAACAGCUAAGCAAAUUCCAACUGCCCUUCUAAGAAAUACGAGUUUGAUCUGAGGUCACAUUGGUCAUUGGUCACAUCUGAAAGUUUUAAAAUGAAUGUCAAAGUCCGUUGUAUAGUCCAGGAUCGAUUAUGAAGUAUUUAUCUUUAUUUCUUGGAAAGACGUCUGACUUUUGCCCUUUCAUUCUGUACUAGUCACCAUCAUUUCAGCAUUCUGUUUUACAAUUUUCUUAGUUACAGCACAUCCACAGCUGUAAAUAAGCAGCUGUUCCUCAUGUGAUUAUUUCUAGUAGUUGCAUUGUGGUUACCCAUAUGAAUAAGGCUUAUUGUUGUGGUAUACCAUUGCAGGCUACAAAUAUGCAAAAAUUAUAAAGGGACAGGAAACUUUCAAACCCUUUAAAUAAUUUCUUCUGGGUUUGGAUAGGCAUUCUUUUUUGGCUUUGCUUGGAUUUUUGUUUUGUUUCAUGUUGUUUAAAGAUUGCCCUGCAGCUAUUUCAAAAAGUUUAAAACCUGCUACCAUUGAUUUACAUUAAGCCAGUUAAUCACGGGAGAGCAGGCAGUUUCAAAAUCUCCCAAACCUUUAGCCAGUAGAAAUUAGCAAUUAUGCAGUUGUUUUUAUUAGCUGCAUAUUGCAUAAAGAUGUAAGCAUCUGUACUUAUUGUAUUGUAUAGAUUAUUUCAUGGCAGUAUAUGACAUUUAUUUGUGGCAGUGUAACUGCUAUGAUUGUUUUAAGUGACAGCCAGAUGAACUGGCAAGGAAGAAAGUGCAGGAAAGUCAAGUAUUUUUGAGUAUAUAUUUAUACUGGAGAAACAAGCUCCUAAAUACACUACUGCAACGGAUGCUGGACAAGCAUGCACUAUAAAAAAAAUUUCUGUUUUCCUUUUCUUGCCAACAGCACAUAGCAAAAACCGUUUCCUAGUACCAGCAAAGAUCUCUGCUGCAUCAGUUACUCUGCUAUGGAGGCAAGAACUAUGAGCUUUUGGACUCACAUACAGUGUAAACAAUCACCACUUGAUUGCUUUGCUGAAUACAGCUCGUAUCCUGUUACUUACUUCCCAGCUCGUGUCUUGGAACUGAACCUAAACUGACUUUGAAACAAGGAACACUUAUCCAAAUUCUUUGUGUAUGAAGAAGUUACCUACUCAGAUGAAAAAUGUGAGCUAUGCCAAGUUAAGGGAAUGAGCAGGCAAGUCAAUAAUGAGGGAUUUGUAGUCAUAAAGACUACUUCGAAUUACAGUGUCUGCAGGGGACCUUGUCAGUACUCUCAUGUGUUAGGAGGUUAUCAGCCAUCUUCUCUGUGCUGCUCUUAGUUUCAAGUGUGUGGGGAGUCACAAAUACUACCACUGCAAGAACUGUAUUACUGGUUUGUGUAGUAAGGUAUAAUAAUAAAUAUUGUACCUGAACACUGAAGUAUUGAAGUACCAGAAUCAUUCUGCAAUUUUAAUGGAAACAUCUUUGGCAACGUCAAGAAAGACUGAUUACAGAUAAGAAAUCCAGGAGUCAGCACAUGGUCUGGCUUAGCUGGAAAUCUCUACCACUACUGAGCAGAAAAAUCCACUUCUAAAGGCUACAACAACCCUUAUGCUGAUAAUAAAAGAAAGAUGUGUCCCAUGGUACACACUUAAGCAGCUGCUGAUGAUCAUGACAUGGGGCAUCUCUUAAAACUACACAGCAGUUCAGUGAAAGCUGCGGAAGUAAACAAACAUUUUAAAUUGUAGAAGUUUAUUUAAAUAAUAAACUAAAUCAUUUAACAAUCUGAGUAAAUUGGUACAAAACCUUAUGCAUUCAUUUUUACUUUUGUUAAAUGUAGCCUUCAUUACCUCAGUUUAACACAAACUGACUAAACUGAGUUUAGGCAAACCUAAGUAAUCUAAACCACAAUGAGAGUAGCCACUCUGCAUCAAUUUACUAUCAGGUUUCAAAAUCACACAUUUGUUGUACUUCAUUGAAAAAAGAAGAAAAUGAUGUGGCAUUCUGCUCACA